UGCUAAUCAUCAAGAGUUUCUUCCGCA
RNAcentral lists this non-coding RNA (27 nucleotides) under Mus musculus (house mouse). The record is from RNAcentral. Lineage: Eukaryota; Metazoa; Chordata; Mammalia; Rodentia; Muridae.